GGGGAUGACAGGCUUCGACGGAAGAGGCUGGUUCCGGAUUGCGAGCCGAGAGGCGCCGAACUCGUAAACUCAGCGCAACAAUUAAGUGCCAACCGCACUAACCUUUCUACUCUACCCCUCGCCGCUUAAUCGGUGAGCUAAGAGUAUGACCCGCAAUAGGGUCACGUCCGCCUACCCCAAUCUCCGACCGGUGGUAGAUCGGGCGAAACAAAGUCGGAGUGCCGCACGCGAGAUCACUAACCGUGCGAAAGAGGACUUUCGGGUCCAAGUGGUUGGUCUGGUAAAGUUCCUUGUCGUUUGAGGGUUACCGGGCGACAAAAAUCAAGCGACUACGCUCGUAGAUAUUCGAGAAUCUAUCCUUUCGGACGCGGGUUCGAGUCCCGCCAUCUCCACCA
RNAcentral lists this transfer-messenger RNA (395 nucleotides) under Anaerolineales. Its description in RNAcentral is "PFL25 sp020349245 Standard tmRNA". It matches the Rfam family "transfer-messenger RNA". Rfam says of the family: Bacterial tmRNA, also known as 10Sa RNA or SsrA, is named for its dual tRNA and mRNA-like properties. Its role is to liberate the mRNA from a stalled ribosome. RNAcentral also lists the same sequence under 2 other names. The record is from RNAcentral. Lineage: Bacteria; Bacillati; Chloroflexota; Anaerolineae.